AUUGAACGCUGGCGGAAUGCUUUACACAUGCAAGUUGAACGGCAGCACGGACUUCGGUCUGGUGGCGAGUGGCGAACGGGUGAGUAAUAUAUCGGAACGUGCCCAGUCGUGGGGGAUAACGUAGUGAAAAUUACGCUAAUACCGCAUACGAUCUAAGGAUGAAAGCGGGGGACCUUAGGGCCUCGCGCGAUUGGAGCGGCCGAUGUCAGAUUAGCUAGUUGGUGGGGUAAAGGCCCACCAAGGCGACGAUCUGUAGCUGGUCUGAGAGGACGACCAGCCACACUGGGACUGAGACACGGCCCAGACUCCUACGGGAGGCAGCAGUGGGGAAUUUUGGACAAUGGGCGCAAGCCUGAUCCAGCAAUGCCGCGUGCAGGAAGAAGGCCCUCGGGUUGUAAACUGCUUUUGUACAGAACGAAAAGGUCUCUAUUAAUACUAGGGGCUCAUGACGGUACUGUAAGAAUAAGCACCGGCUAACUACGUG
RNAcentral lists this ribosomal RNA (484 nucleotides) under uncultured bacterium. Its description in RNAcentral is "bacterial SSU rRNA". It matches the Rfam family "Bacterial small subunit ribosomal RNA", at positions 30 to 507 of the family's 1533-position model. The record is from RNAcentral.